Molecule: long non-coding RNA, 944 nt
Organism: Prunus persica (peach)
Lineage: Eukaryota; Viridiplantae; Streptophyta; Magnoliopsida; Rosales; Rosaceae
Exons: 2
Source: RefSeq, a predicted model, not a curated record
ACCAAGUCUUUUGUCCCAUUUGUUUUACUUUUUCUUCCAAUUUCAAGAAAGUGGCGUCAGCCACUUCCCUUUUCCCCUUUUUUUUUUUUGCUUGUUGGCUUUUCUUCUUCUGUUUCUUCUUGGCUGCUGCUUCCUUUUUUUGUUUUUUUUUCUUCUUUGCUUUUGGUUUGCUGCGCAUCCAUAAGUUGUCAACAGGAACGUGGCUAUCCUUUUUCUUUUAAAGACCUCCAUCCUUCCUUCUUCCUUCCGUGGUUUUGAUUGUUCGCAAACAAUCCCCAGAUGAAGAAUUCAAAGAAUAGGCUGCAUAAACGUGGCCUCCCUUUUCAAGCUUUGUUCCUCUCUUUUUUGUGCACACAGCUGAUUUUUAUUUGCUGUGAGGUUAAAUCCCUCCAUGAUUAUGUUUGUGGGUUUUGUACCCAAAUUGGAUUUGUGCUCUUGAGAGAGGCUGUGACAGAAAAACAUGGCCUCUAUUUUCUCUCCCUUUUUUUUUACAGAUCUCCAUUUUUUUCUCUGCCUAUUCUUUUCUUCAUGACUAACAUCCUUUACAUUUUUUUUGAUGUAGUUUGCUCAGAGAGAAAAAUAAAGGCCUUCUUAAGCAGAGAGGGAGAGGAGCGGUGAGAGAGCCCAAGAGGAAUAUACCCUUAAUUUGUCCUACAUCAAGUGGAGUUGGAUCCCUCGCAAUGUUAACCGAGCAGCACAUGAUGCUACAAGGAUUAGUUCUAGAGUGGUGUCUCAUUUUUGCUGGGCUGGGAGGCCACCAGAAUCUCUUGUCAGUAUUUUGGUUUCGAAUGGCUUGCCUGGCCCUCCUCUGUAGGCGUUAUUUCUUUGUUUUUUGUUUGACCAAGAUUGGACUAUCACCUUGCUGUGUGUGAUUAGGUGUUCCCUCUCUUGGUUGUUGUGUAAGCUUGUUCUCCAUAGGUGAUGUUUUCUCCCUGGGGCUUUUA